UGAAAACCUCCAUGCAUGAUCUACCAAAAAACAGGCUGGAUUUAUCCUCCAUCCACCAUGGAAUGACAUGGCCUUGGCUGGGAUUGUGAGUCAGGCUUUCUUUAGAAUGAUAGUCUAGAAUAGUUCCAAAUGCAACAUUUUAACGCCAUUCAAAUUGCAGCUGAAGAGCCAUACAAAACCUUUUAAGUCCUACAAGUAUUGGAGUAUUCUACCUAAAUGAGAACAUGGCUAAUCUAUGGCAGGUUAUAGUUGUGGCAUUAAUGUACUUUUGCACAUUGCUGAAAAGAAGUAUAGAACAGAUACAGAGAUGUUUGUGCUUCAAAAAUAGUUUAAAUUGGGUUCAGUUCAGACAGGCAGAUUCUGAUGCUGUAGAAGAGAAAUCUGAUAACCUACAGGCAGACAUCUGGAGAACAAAUCAAGAGUACAGGACCUAUCGGCACCAGAGCAAUGGACAAAUGGUAAUGGUGCAAACCAGCACACAUACUUUCCAUGUGAGUAUCUACACAUAAACCACAGACUGUAACAACCUUGGCCCACAAACACAUGAUGUCAUGCUUAUCAGCACUUACUUCUAGGUGGAUCUGGAGAAGCUUGCAGACUGCAGCGAGUAUUUCAAGGCUCUGUCCCACUCCUGCAUGAGAGAGACAUCCGAACAGCUGGUACACCUAGAACCUGUUCCCUCUCCAGUCUUCCACAACCUUCUACAAUUCUGCUUCCUACAGCAGUUCUGCAUUUCUGAAGACCUCCUUGGGGAACACCUACGGGUGAGCACUUACCUGCUUGCUUACGGGUUCACCAAUCGUCUACUGAUUGCCCUCUCUCAAGCCCUAACGGAGCACACCUGCUUAGGCUAUCUACAGCUGGCUGAAGAACUCUGCAGUGAGGAGCUCCAAGAGACUGUGCUAACCUACCUGAGCAAGUAUCUACUGGAGCGUCCACACCUGAGUCAGGGCUUGGAUCCACACCUUAAAGCAAAGCUUCUCAGAUUAAGGUCAAAGGGAACUCCACACUUAUGCUGCUUGAGAAAGGAGAACUUGACCUCAAGCAAUGACCUGGAAACAGAUGCUGCUCGAAAGCUCUUCAGGCUGGAGGAAGACAAGGAUUAUGGGAAAUGGAGUUCUAUCACAGAUCUGCCUUUUUGUGCAGAUAAGUGGUGCUUCACCACAGCGGUUCUCUAUAAUUACCUCUAUCUCAUAGGGGGUUAUAGACACCGUGUAAAGAAGGGUUAUGAGUUCAAGAUGGCUUCCUUCCGCUACAACCCUUUUACCAAUCAAUGGGUAUCAACAGCUCCUCUGAUUAAGACUUCCAGUUCAGCCUGUCCCUUUCCCAUGAUUCCCCACUCACAACCAGCCUGGGACACUGCCUCUAUGUACUGGGGAACAUCCAGAGAACUGGAGAGAAACUGGUGUUGCGCUACGAUACUAGACAAGAUUGCUGGUGUGAGCUGCUCCCCACACUAACCCGCUCCAGUGCAGACCUCCCCAUCUUGAACUUCCUGGGUGCUGCUAAUAAUCAGUUGGUUGUAAUUGGAGGGAACAAUUCUGAAACCAUGGUGACAUCUUUCUGUGUGGAAUCUCAGAAGUGGGGCUGUAUCAGAGCAAUGGAGAAGACCACUUUAAUUGGCCAGGGCACCAUUCUGCAUAAUGAGGUCUACAUGUCAGGGAUGAAGGACAAUUCUAUAGUUAAACUGAACCUGCAUUCACUGUCCCUCUGUCCUCUUCCUUCCCUCCCUGUCACCACCUGCUACGAGAGCCUUUUCCACCUCUACUUCUGACCUUGUUUUUCUUCUUGUUUAAUUGCAACAAAAUGUAACAAAAUAUUUCAUAAAUAAAUGUAUCAACUUGUGUAAAGUAAAGCAUUUUGUGAGA
Molecule: long non-coding RNA, 1868 nt
Organism: Sinocyclocheilus anshuiensis
Lineage: Eukaryota; Metazoa; Chordata; Actinopteri; Cypriniformes; Cyprinidae
Source: Ensembl